RNAcentral lists this small RNA (79 nucleotides) under Xanthomonas prunicola. RNAcentral describes it as "sX9 sRNA". It matches the Rfam family "Xanthomonas sRNA sX9". Lineage: Bacteria; Pseudomonadati; Pseudomonadota; Gammaproteobacteria; Lysobacterales; Lysobacteraceae. The record is from RNAcentral.
AUGUACCACCGUACAUUGCGGUCCCUCCGCGCCGCCCACGCCCACCUGACGACUGCUCGCUACGUUUCGUUCGUUAGCC